This 655-nucleotide long non-coding RNA is filed under the name Bemisia tabaci. RNAcentral's name for it is "lncRNA ENSSWEETPG000937". The record is from RNAcentral. Lineage: Eukaryota; Metazoa; Arthropoda; Insecta; Hemiptera; Aleyrodidae.
AGUGAAGAGAAAAAAAAAGAAAUAUUUACCUAAACUCUGCUCAGGAGAACAUAUCGGAGCAUUGGCUAUGUCAGAACCAGGAUCAGGAUCAGAUGUAGUUUCUAUGCAGCUACGAGCAGAAAAAAAAGGGCGAUCACUACGUUUUUAAUGGCAGCAAAUUCUGGAUCACGAAUGGCCCUAUUGCAGAUGUUAUUGUUGUUUAUGCAAGAACAGAUACUAGUGCCUCUAAGAAACAACAUGGAAUAUCUGCUUUUAUUGUGGAAAAAGGUUUCAAGGGCUUCAAGACUGGUCCCAAACUGGAUAAGCUUGGAAUGAGAGGAUCUGAUACUGGGGAGUUAAUAUUUGAUAAUUGCGAGGUUCCAGCUGAAAACUUGCUUGGCCAGGAAAAAAAGGUGUCUAUGUUCUAAUGAGCGGUCUUGAUUAGAAAGGCUUGUCAUCGCAGCUGGGCCUGUUGGGUAAGAUUAAAAAAUUGUAUUAUUACCCUGAGCAUCUCUGAAAAUCCUCAGAUCCAGUUCAAUUAUCCUUCAUAACUAACCUGGCUAAUAAAACUAUUUCUGAGCCAGUCAUACAUCAUACUUAUUUUCUGCCCGAGCUGAACCUUAUCCUCCUCAAUCUUACGCUGAAAGUCAUCAGAGUUUUUGUUACUCUGAUUGUA